ACUUGAAUAAAGAAAACAUUUUUAUGGUGGAGGAGAGGGGCGUGAGAAGACGUGGAUGGGGAGCUUGAGACACCCGAUCCUGUUUCGCUGGUGAAGCGUCCCAUUUGGCCCGUGACGCCAACCCCGAUGCCACAGUUGCAUCUGCCACCACGCUUGCAUCCCCUGGUGCUGGUGGUGCAGUGUGUGGUGUCCCAGGGCAUGGUCACCAUGGGUCGGUGCCACCCAGCCCCGUGUUGGUCCCCAGGGAAGCACUAAUGGAGGGCCUUGGUUGACGGUGGUGGGUGAUGUGUGCCUGUGCCUCCCAUAAGAUCCUGCCCGGGGGACUGCAUCCCACCCUCCUGUCUCUCUGCAGCUCAGAGAGGACACCCCUGCAAUCCCCUUUUUGUGCUUUCUUCCAUAAAUAGCAAAAACGGGAAAUCCGCUGUAAUGGAGAGCUCUGUUAGGAGAAUUGAGUGAAUCCAGGCUGAGCCUUUAGGGUGUAAUGACCCAGAAAUGGCCAAAAGGGGACCCACCACAGCUGCCCCUACAAAAAAAAACAGACAGCACUUUUGGCGGUGCUGGUCUUACAGCAAUGGGAAGGCAACAACGCACUGGCCACGGCUCCUGGGGCUCUGUGGGACCUCCACCAUCCAUGAGGAUUGCUCGGGCACCAACCUCAUCCCUGUGAAGGUGGAUUUGGGUCCCGCAGGUAUUUUUGGACCUUCUCUGUGCAGCCACCAGAGGCAGCAGGACCCCACUGGGAGCCCAGUCACGCAUCCAGUGGCCUAAAUCUCAAGGGUUAAUUCAGGGAUCAGAGGUCUUCAGCAUCACAUGAAACACCACUGAGUGAGUUGUUGCAGCCUCUCCUUGGCACCCGCGUGCUGCCCAGGGCCUUCACACCUCCCCUACCUGCAGGUGGGUUUGCUUCUACCCCUGCUGUCAGCUUGCUCAGUUUCCUCUUGUUCUCCCAGUUCUGACAUUGAAUUUCAAAGCUAGCACAAAUCGAGCGGAAGGGUAUACAUGAAGCCACUUUCCAGAUUAGGGCUUCUGUCAGAGCACCUUGCCCGUCCCAUCAGCUGCUUUCAGCACGCGGUGCCGCAGCGGUGCGGCGGCGCGCUCUGAUCCUGUGUGAAGUCAGAAAGAGCCUUCACAGCUGUCACUUCCAGUUCCUACCAAAGCAAAACACUUCCUACAAGGAAAGCGCACAUUACAGCUGAAUUAUAAAUGAGGACUGGUAUUUUUGCGAGGUACAAAUCGGAGGCAUUCUCCAUAUUGUUAGAAUACCAAUUUUAUUUUCCUGGUAUGUAGUACCCAGUGCAGCGCGGCGUCCCCGGAGAUGCGGGCAUUCUCCGGAGAUUACUUCAGCAUUGCAUUACUGCUAUCACAUAUCCAUUAUAUAUACUCUUUCAGACAAGUGGAAAUGUUUUCACAAAAACAAUCUGGAAUCUUGGCUUAAAACCCAAGUUUGCUGUCAAGGCAAACAGAGUAGCCUCAAAGAGGACUUAUUUUUAUUUUGUUCAGACAAGUAUGUUGUUUCUGGAUUAUAAUAAGGAAAAAUAUAGCAGCUAUCACUCUUCAGUUUAUUUGACAAGCUUCCUCUGACAAACCUACAGGAAUAAGCCCUGGCCUUGCGAACUUGUUCUCAUUCAGGUAUUCCCUUUGGCUUCAGCACUUUU
This 1655-nucleotide long non-coding RNA is filed under the name Anas platyrhynchos platyrhynchos (common mallard). RNAcentral's name for it is "lncRNA (ENSAPLG00000017367.1)". Lineage: Eukaryota; Metazoa; Chordata; Aves; Anseriformes; Anatidae. The record is from RNAcentral.